GAUCAUGGCUCAGAUUGAACGCUGGCGGAAUGCUUUACACAUGCAAGUCGAACGGUAACAGGUUAAGCUGACGAGUGGCGAACGGGUGAGUAAUGCAUCGGAACGUGCCCGAUCGUGGGGGAUAACGCAGCGAAAGCUGCGCUAAUACCGCAUACGAUCUACGGAUGAAAGCGGGGGAUCGCAAGACCUCGCGCGAUUGGAGCGGCCGAUAUCAGAUUAGGUAGUUGGUGGGGUAAAGGCUCACCAAGCCAACGAUCUGUAGCUGGUCUGAGAGGACGACCAGCCACACUGGAACUGAGACACGGUCCAGACUCCUACGGGAGGCAGCAGUGGGAAUUUGGACAAUGGACGAAAGUCUGAUCCAGCCAUUCCGCGUGCAGGAUGAAGGCCCUCGGGUUGUAAACUGCUUUUGUACGGAACGAAAAGGUUUCUCUUAAUACGAGGAGCUCAUGACGGUACCGUAAGAAUAAGCACCGGCUAACUACGUG
Molecule: ribosomal RNA, 488 nt
Filed under: uncultured bacterium
Lineage: Bacteria
Description: bacterial SSU rRNA
Rfam family: Bacterial small subunit ribosomal RNA
Source: RNAcentral